RNAcentral lists this ribosomal RNA (484 nucleotides) under uncultured bacterium. RNAcentral's name for it is "partial 16S ribosomal RNA". It matches the Rfam family "Bacterial small subunit ribosomal RNA", at positions 30 to 507 of the family's 1533-position model. The record is from RNAcentral.
AUUGAACGCUGGCGGCAUGCCUAACACAUGCAAGUCGAGCGGAAGAAGGGGGCUUUGCCCCUGAUGCCGUGGCGGGCGGGGGGGUGAUACCCAGGAGAAUACCUGCCAUUGAAGGAUAACGUCCGGAGAGGGGCGCGAAUAAAGCACAGAUGAUUAAGGAGAAAGAGAGGGUGCCUUGGACAACACGGUUUUUGAGGAGCCUAGGUCGGAUUAGCUAGUUGGUUGGGUAAAGGCCUACCAAGGCGACGAUCCGUAGCUGGUCUGAGAGGAUGAUCAGCCACACUGGAACUGAGACACGGUCCAGACUCCUACGGGAGGCAGCAGUAGGGAAUCUUGGACAAUGGGCGAAAGCCUGACGCAGCAAUGCCGCGUGUGUGAAGAAGGUCUUCGGAUUGUAAAGCACUGUUAUUAGGGAAGAACAACUGUGUAAGUAACCAUGCACGUCUUGACGGUACCUAAAGAAAAAGCCCCGGCUAACUACGUG